This 172-nucleotide long non-coding RNA is filed under the name Canis lupus familiaris (dog). Its description in RNAcentral is "lncRNA (ENSCAFG00845022937.1)". The record is from RNAcentral. Lineage: Eukaryota; Metazoa; Chordata; Mammalia; Carnivora; Canidae.
CUGGAGCCUAACUUACUACAACCUUUAAUUAACAUUUUUCCUUUUCAUUUAGCUUCGAUGAGAAAUGAAGUGAAUCACAAGAAAGUAAUUUGACAUGAGGGAUUUAUCUUUGAACCAACCAGUUCCAAGGCGUAACCAGGUUUGCAUUCCACCACUGAAGCAGUUAUUGUAG